This 232-nucleotide ribosomal RNA is filed under the name uncultured bacterium. Its description in RNAcentral is "partial 16S ribosomal RNA". It matches the Rfam family "Bacterial small subunit ribosomal RNA", at positions 118 to 334 of the family's 1533-position model. The record is from RNAcentral.
UAGGUAAUCUUCCCUUGAGAUGGGAAUAACCUUCCGAAAGGAGGGCUAAUACCAAAUAAGACCACGGUAACCCCGGUUACUGAGGUAAAAGGAGGCCUCUACUUGUAAGCUAUCGCUUAAGGAUGAGCCUAUGCAGCAUCAGCUAGUUGGUAAGGUAACGGCUUACCAAGGCUUUGACGCUUAACUGAUCUGAGAGGUUGAUCAGUCACACUGGAACUGAGACACGGUCCAG